GGAUGAACGCUGGCGGCGUGCCUAAUACAUGCAAGUCGAGCGAACGGACGAGAAGCUUGCUUCUCUGAUGUUAGCGGCGGACGGGUGAGUAACACGUGGGUAACCUACCUAUAAGACUGGGAUAACUUCGGGAAACCGGAGCUAAUACCGGAUAAUAUUUUGAACCGCAUGGUUCAAAAGUGAAAGACGGUCUUGCUGUCACUUAUAGAUGGAUCCGCGCUGCAUUAGCUAGUUGGUAAGGUAACGGCUUACCAAGGCAACGAUGCAUAGCCGACCUGAGAGGGUGAUCGGCCACACUGGAACUGAGACACGGUCCAGACUCCUACGGGAGGCAGCAGUAGGGAAUCUUCCGCAAUGGGCGAAAGCCUGACGGAGCAACGCCGCGUGAGUGAUGAAGGUCUUCGGAUCGUAAAACUCUGUUAUUAGGGAAGAACAUAUGUGUAAGUAACUGUGCACAUCUUGACGGUACCUAAUCAGAAAGCCACGGCUAACUACGUG
Molecule: ribosomal RNA, 498 nt
Filed under: uncultured bacterium
Lineage: Bacteria
Description: partial 16S ribosomal RNA
Rfam family: Bacterial small subunit ribosomal RNA
Source: RNAcentral